AACACAUGCAAGUCGAGGGGCAGCAGAUCGAAAGCUUGCUUUGAUGCUGGCGACCGGCGCACGGGUGAGUAACGCGUAUCCAACCUUCCCUGUAGUAGAGAAUAGCCCGGCGAAAGUCGGAUUAAUGCUCUAUGUUGUAUUUAGAGGACAUCUGAAGAAUACCAAAGGUUUACCGCUAUAGGAUGGGGAUGCGUCUGAUUAGGUUGUUGGCGGGGUAACGGCCCACCAAGCCCACGAUCAGUAGGGUUCUGAGAGGAAGGUCCCCCACAUUGGAACUGAGACACGGUCCAAACUCCUACGGGAGGCAGCAGUGAGGAAUAUUGGUCAAUGGACGAAAGUCUGAACCAGCCAAGUAGCCGUGCAGGAUGACGGCCCUAUGGGUUGUAAACUGCUUUUAUACAGGGAUAAAGUGAGGGACGUGUCCCUUUUUGUAGGUACUGUAUGAAUAAGGACCGGCUAAUUCCGUGCCAGCCGCUGC
Molecule: ribosomal RNA, 478 nt
Filed under: uncultured bacterium
Lineage: Bacteria
Description: bacterial SSU rRNA
Rfam family: Bacterial small subunit ribosomal RNA
Source: RNAcentral